RNAcentral lists this ribosomal RNA (466 nucleotides) under uncultured bacterium. RNAcentral's name for it is "partial 16S ribosomal RNA". It matches the Rfam family "Bacterial small subunit ribosomal RNA", at positions 28 to 507 of the family's 1533-position model. The record is from RNAcentral.
GAUGAACGCUGGCGGCGUGCUUAACACAUGCAAGUCGAACGGAAAGGCCCAAGCUUGCUUGGGUACUCGAGUGGCGAACGGGUGAGUAACACGUGGGUGAUCUGCCCUGCACUUCGGGAUAAGCCUGGGAAACUGGGUCUAAUACCGGAUAGGACCACAUUUUGGAUGGUGUGGUGGAAAGUUUUUCGGUGUGGGAUGAGCUCGCGGCCUAUCAGCUUGUUGGUGGGGUAAUGGCCUACCAAGGCGUCGACGGGUAGCCGGCCUGAGAGGGUGUACGGCCACAUUGGGACUGAGAUACGGCCCAGACUCCUACGGGAGGCAGCAGUGGGGAAUAUUGCACAAGGGGCGCAAGCCUGAUGCAGCGACGCCGCGUGGGGGAUGACGGCCUUCGGGUUGUAAACUCCUUUCGCUAGGGACGAAGCGUUAUGUGACGGUACCUGGAGAAGAAGCACCGGCUAACUACGUG